Non-coding RNA from Salmo salar (Atlantic salmon), 72 nucleotides. The record is from Rfam. NCBI's taxonomy places the organism in Eukaryota, Metazoa, Chordata, Actinopteri, Salmoniformes, Salmonidae.
UCCCGUGUGGCUCAGUUGGUAGAGCAUGGUGUUUGCAAUGCCAGGGUUGUGGGUUUGAUUCCCACAGGGGAC